RNAcentral lists this ribosomal RNA (344 nucleotides) under Klebsiella pneumoniae. Its description in RNAcentral is "bacterial LSU rRNA". It matches the Rfam family "Bacterial large subunit ribosomal RNA", at positions 541 to 888 of the family's 2925-position model. Lineage: Bacteria; Pseudomonadati; Pseudomonadota; Gammaproteobacteria; Enterobacterales; Enterobacteriaceae. The record is from RNAcentral.
AAAAAGAACCUGAAACCGUGUACGUACAAGCAGUGGGAGCACCUUCGGGUGUGACUGCGUACCUUUUGUAUAAUGGGUCAGCGACUUAUAUUCUGUAGCAAGGUUAACCGUAUAGGGGAGCCGCAGGGAAACCGAGUCUUAACUGGGCGUUAAGUUGCAGGGUAUAGACCCGAAACCCGGUGAUCUAGCCAUGGGCAGGUUGAAGGUUGGGUAACACUAACUGGAGGACCGAACCGACUAAUGUUGAAAAAUUAGCGGAUGACUUGUGGCUGGGGGGUGAAAGGCCAAUCAAACCGGGAGAUAGCUGGUUCUCCCCGAAAGCUAUUUAGGUAGCGCCUCGUGAA